UCAAAAUUCUACUAUAAAUGACCAGAGACCAGAUGUUAUGUCACCUGGGAUGAUAGUUACCAAGGCUCUUAUUCUUUCUUCUCCAGAUGCCUGACAGCUCCUGGCAGCUGCAGUGUGGUUGGUACAAGCAAUAAGUACCCAGCUUUUCUGCCUAUUGCCAUGUAGAGGUUCAGGUAAUUUCAACAUCUUGCCUCUGUACUUAUAUUUCUUAUAGAGACAGCCUGUAACAUUUCAAAAUUCCUUUACUUACAAGAGAAGCUUCAAUGAGAUUUCUUGAACUCGUCCAACCUCUCUGUCGUUUUACACUUCCAGGAACUUCUCA
RNAcentral lists this long non-coding RNA (322 nucleotides) under Bos taurus (domestic cattle). RNAcentral's name for it is "long non-coding RNA NONBTAT019142". Lineage: Eukaryota; Metazoa; Chordata; Mammalia; Artiodactyla; Bovidae. The record is from RNAcentral.